Molecule: ribosomal RNA, 4686 nt
Filed under: Triticum aestivum (bread wheat)
Lineage: Eukaryota; Viridiplantae; Streptophyta; Magnoliopsida; Poales; Poaceae
Description: partial small subunit ribosomal RNA
Source: RNAcentral
AUGAGCGAUCCAGUGUCAUACCCAACAACAAAAUUUCAUACUUGGGUCACCACCAACCCAAGAUGGAGCUCCAAGCGAGAUGCGAUGAUGAUGCAUCCCGUGUGGCAUCACGCCAUUUGUUGGAAUAAGCCACGGCGUCUGAUGCAGUCGAGUUCGUCGGGCGCGUCGGUAAGGGCCGUUGGAGGUAGCAGCGUCGUGCAUGCAGAAGCGCGCGGUGCAUCCCCCUCCGCCUCCCUACCUCCCCUCGCUGUUGUCGGAGGAAGCCGCCAGGCUAAGCCUGGGUUGUGGACGGCGGUGACCGGGCCUCUCUGCAGCGUCCCGGUCUCAUGGCAGGGAAGGCACGCCUCCUUGCAGUCGGGCGCGGCGGCUACGGCGCGAAGAUUCUCCGAAGUUGCAUCUCCGGCGGGUGGCUGCUGCGGUGGCAUGGUCGGCAAGCUCAUGGGCUUCGGUCCAGCGACUCCUGCUCGGCGAGUAUGGGCGUGGUGGCGGCCCCCCUUUCCUGCCUUCAGUCGUUCGGUCGGCUGCUCUGGCCGGCCCUUGGUGGUUGUUGCAGUUGCUGCGGCAAGGGGGCGCCAGAUCCAGCGGUUCUUCGUUCAGAUCCAGCUCGUCUCUCGUCUUCCUCAGGGGGUGUGCGUGCCAGCUUGUGUUGGUUGUGUGAGGGUGUUGGUCGAGUCUGCUCGAAGCGCAAGCUUGCCCGGCUAUGGCCGGCCGGUAGUGGCGGCGCCUACUGGCGUCGUUUCCCUUGUUGAAGACCCAUCUGGGUCGGGCAACGACGUCGUCCGUACGGCGUUUUUCCCCUUUCGGCCGUUGCUUUGGAGACCGACGAUCCUUUCUCGUGCUACCUUUGGGUUGGCCGUGCACGGUGUCACGGUUGGCUGGUGCUCAGCCGGUGAUGCGAGUGGUUGGCGUUGUGACUCGUGCAACGACGAAGAUGGUGAUGUGCGGAGCUGGGUCGUGGCAUGUCCUUCUGAUGUCGGCGACGGUGCUCUCCGCAGGUUGCACUGGACUAGGUCGGUGCGAGGCUUGCAACUUUCUCCUGUGAAGCUCAUCAACAAAAUCGGAGCUGUCGGUCCUCGACGCCUGCGGCCGAUCGUUUGGCUUGGCUGUCGAGGUCCUCAGGUGUCGUUCGUUCGGAGGGUCAUUGAUGGGUCGUCAGCGAGGAAAUCGGAGUCGCCUACUCGUGGAGAGGCUACGACGAUGACAUUGCUUGUAGCCUCGACGGUGUCCUCUCGUCGGCGAAAGUUGCCACCUAGGUACAACUUGUCUUGCUCCGGACCUACCUACACACCAAGGCCCAUGCCUCGCUUCUCCUCCACCACGUCAAUGUCGUCACUCCGCCUCCGCCUCCCCCUCCGCCUGCACGCCCGCCACUCCUCCUCCGCCUCUCAACCCUCACACAGCCAGGGCUGGGAUCCCCACGCCGCCUUCGCCGCCGCCACGGAGCGUGCGCGCUCUGGCAGCCUCACCCCGGCGGACGCACACCACCUGUUCGACGAAUUGCUGCGGCAGGCCAAUCCUGUCCAGGAGCGCCCCCUCAACAACUUUCUCGCCGCCCUCGCCCGCGCGCCGGCCCUCACGGUCGCCCUCUUCAGCCUCAUAUCCAAAGGCGCCCGCCGACGGGUGGCGCAGCCAAAUGUCUUCACCUAUGGCGUCCUUAUGGACUGCUGCUGCCGUGCACACCGCCCGGAUCUGGCACUAGCGUUCUUCGGCCGUUUCCUCAGGACGGGCCUGGAGGCAGACCAAGUCGUCUUCAACACCCUCCUCAAGGGCCUUUGCCAUGCAAAGCAGGCAGAUGAGGCCGUGAACGUGCUUCUUCACAGGAUGCCUGACCUGGGCUGCACUCCCAAUGUGGUGGCGUACAACACCGUCAUCCAUGGCUUCUUUAGGGAAGGCCAAGUAGGCAAGGCAUGCGAUAUGUUCCAUGGAAUGGCACAUAAGGGCGUUAUGCCUAAUGUGGUGACAUAUAACUCGGUUAUUGAUGCACUGUGCAAGGCCAGGGCCAUGGACAAAGCAGAGACGGUCCUUGGUCAAAUGGUAAAUGAUGGUGUCGGACCUAAUAAUGUCACAUAUAAUAGCCUCAUCCAUGGAUAUUCCUCUUUGGGUAAUUUGAAGGAGGCGGUUAGGGUAUUCAAAGAGAUGAGUCGGAGGUUUACACCAGAUGUCGUUACCUGCACCUCACUCAUGGCCUUCCUUUGCAAGAAUGGAAAAAGCAAAGAAGCUGCAGAAAUUUUUGAUUCAAUGGCCACCAAGGGCCUCAAACGUGACACCGUUUCAUAUGCUAUUCUCCUUCAUGGGUAUGCCACUGAAGGAUGCUUGGUUGACAUGAUUAAUCUCUUCAAUUCAAUGGCAACAGACUGUAUUCUACCUAACUGUCAUAUCUUCAAUAUACUGAUUAAUGCAUAUGCUAAAUCUGGGAAGCUUGAUAAGGCUAUGCUUAUCUUCAAUGAAAUGCAGAAACAAGGAAACCUAUGCACGGAAGGAAGGGUAAUAGAAGCACGGGAUAUCCUCGACUUGAUGCUGCACAUAGGUAUGAGGCCUGAUGUUCCCAUCUUUAAUUUACUAAUCGGUGGAUACUGCCUAGUCCGCGAGAUGGAGGAUGCAACAAAAAUGUUUGAUGAUAUGGUGUCAUAUGGUUUAGAACCUUGUAACAAUACGUAUGGUAUACUUAUUAAUGGCUAUUGCAAAAAUAGAAGGAUUGAUGACGGGCUUAUUCUAUUCAAAGAGAUGCUGCGCAAGGGACUUAAACCUACAACUUUUAAUUAUAACGUCAUACUGGAUGGAUUAUUUCUGGCUGGACGAACUGUUGCUGCAAAGGUGAAGUUUAAUGAGAUGGUUGAAUCUGGAGACUAUAGAGCUCUGGGCAUCCAUGUUAUGCUGAUAACAGGAUAUGAGAAAGGAACCUCUCAGGCAAUAUGCCAUGAGAUUGGUGCAUUUUCACCUGAUGAUGAUCCUAGGCCCAAGGAAGAGAUUGGGAGACUGCUGAAAGAAGAUGGUGAAGUUGUUGCUAUGACUGGAGAUGGUGUAAAUGUUGUCCCUGCUCAAAAAUUUGCUGACAUUGAGCAGAGAAAUGAGUACUUGAGUAGCUACCCUCCAAAAGUUACUGGAAAACUUGUGCCCCUUGAAAAUCAGAUUUACUACUCUGACUUGGAAGCUGCAAUUACAGGUACAUCAUCCUCUCUAAGAUCCAGGAUAACACGGGUACGGCUCAUGCUGCCACGUUGCAACAAGGUGGCUAGGAGACGCUUGGUCGCACAGCAAAUGAGCUCUACUCGGUUGACUAUGCAGCACGAUUUGGCAGUACCAUGCGUGCCGCUAUGUAUCAUCAGUAUCUGUCCCAAGCGGAAUGUCGCAAAGGGAAUGCUGAACGGUAAUCAUCUUGUGAAAUGCAUCGUUGUUGGAGCUGAAAAGUUUUACCCUAUGAGCAUUCUGCUAGCGCUUGUUUGGUUUCCUUCGUUAUACAUGCAAGCAUGCUUGUUAUCCCUCGAGAUCAUAUCCAUUGGAAGCUGCAUCGUGUGCGAAGUGACGGUGAUGACUGUUGAGGCUAACAUGCCAGGUUCUGCUCAUGGUACCCUAUUCUUGCGAUGGGAUGAACCCACCAACCACCAUACACUCACCAAGGACGAGCAGAUGGCCUGUGUCAAGGUUGAGGAGUUUAGCAUUUCCAUGGAGCGCCUCAUUUUGAUUGGAGAAAAUAAUCUUGUGUGUCCUGGCAAGAUAACUCCCUCCUAUUCUCCAGGAGGAUUUGCCUUCCUCACGAAGGAAAACCUCACCUCUUCCCUUCCCUCACCGCAGCCACUACCUCCUCUUCUCCGCCGCCUCCCCGCCCCGCCCCGCCCCUCCCCUCAUCUCUGUGCCAUGGAAGGUGCGGCGCUGCUCGUUCCCAAGGCAAUGACGGCAAGAGCUAGAAGGCGGGCGGCGCCUCGAGCUCUCGUCCUGAGGAUGCCGCAGGAGGACGAGCACAACCCAGACGACGUGUCGACGUCCAUGCGAUCGUCGGCGCCUACUCCGCCGCGGGAGGCCCCAGCACAUGAUCGUGCUACCCCCACCCGACGAUGUCGUCUGCGUCGAUCUGAAGCCCACACAGGAUGGGAACAAGGUGGGGAUGGAGAUGUGGGAGAAAAGAGCUCAUGGGACUUUCAAGAUAUAGAGAAAUCAAAUGUAGGUACCUUUAUCCAUCCAUCUUUGAACUUGUUUGAGUUCUCAUGGCAAUUGGUGGCAAGGGGAGGACAUUUAUGUUUGAGAGAGAGGGAUGGAAAAAGUGGGGAUGGAGUAAGAGAAGAGGAAGGAACACGUAUGAUGCAGUUCGAGCGCCGUCUUCUAUGCUUCUGCUCACAGUCCCAACAUCCUCAUGGCAGGUCCAAAUCGCUGAGAUGCUUGUUCUCUUGGCUCACAGUAUUUUCAGUGCUCCAGUUACUAAGAUAUUCUCAUGUUCUUUUCAGAUGCGCUGGAGACAGGGAACUUGGACCGUGCCCACGUACACCCCAAGUUCCUGGAACCAGCGAAACCUUCCACAAGUGGGCGUUUGGAGGUUCGGCGAUGUUGCCCAUCCAUUCUCUGAUUUGGUUUGGUGUGUUGGAGAUGGAAUUGUUUGACAGUCUUCAGUUUGUCAGAACAAAGGGUACCAGCUUGACCAACAUCAGAAGUAUAUGGGUCUGCAAACAAGUGAUGAAAUGCAAAAAAAAAUAG